This 278-nucleotide ribosomal RNA is filed under the name uncultured prokaryote. Its description in RNAcentral is "partial 16S ribosomal RNA". It matches the Rfam family "Bacterial small subunit ribosomal RNA", at positions 524 to 801 of the family's 1533-position model. The record is from RNAcentral.
UACGUAUGGGGCGAGCGUUGUUCGGAAUUAUUGGGUGUAAAGGGCGUCUAGGCGGGAGAUUAAGUUAGAUGUGAAAGGCGUGGGCUUAACCCACGAAUUGCAUCUAAAACUGGUUUUCUUGAGUUCGGGAGAGGAGAGCGGAAUUCUUGGUGUAGCGGUGAAAUGCGUAGAUAUCAAGAAGAACACCAGUGGCGAAGGCGGCUCUCUGGCCUAGAACUGACGCUGAAGCGCGAAAGCGUGGGUAGCGAACGGGAUUAGAUACCCGUGUAGUCCCUGAG